CAAAUGACUCUCGGCAAUGGAUAUCUCGGCUCUUGCAUCGAUGAAGAACGUAGUGAAAUGCGAUACUUGGUGUGAAUUGCAGAAUCUCGCGAACCAUUGAGUCUUUGAACGCAAGUUGUGCCCGAGGCCUUGUGGUCGAGGGCACGCCUGCUUGGGUGUCAUGA
This 164-nucleotide ribosomal RNA is filed under the name Curcuma thorelii. RNAcentral describes it as "5.8S ribosomal RNA". It matches the Rfam family "5.8S ribosomal RNA". From Rfam's summary of the family: 5.8S ribosomal RNA (5.8S rRNA) is a component of the large subunit of the eukaryotic ribosome. It is transcribed by RNA polymerase I as part of the 45S precursor that also contains 18S and 28S rRNA. Functionally, it is thought that 5.8S rRNA may be involved in ribosome translocation. RNAcentral also lists the same sequence under 1 other name. The record is from RNAcentral. Lineage: Eukaryota; Viridiplantae; Streptophyta; Magnoliopsida; Zingiberales; Zingiberaceae.